UUUAUUGCUUCUACAGGUUACUGCAAUGACAUUUCUCCACCACUUGGGGCAGUGCUGGCUCUUUCUUGUCUUGUCUCCAUGGCCCAAACUGAGAAAACCACUCCGCGGGGCUCCAGCAGGCCCUGACGAGAGCUCUGUUCCUCAGCUACAGCUCAGACGGAGAAUCCCUCACCACCGAGCAGCUCCGCAGCCUCCUCUCCAAUGAGUUCAGCCAGGUCCAGGCGCUGAAUGAACAGCUGCUGGAGGAGUUCAUUGUGGCUUAUGAUGGAAAUGGAGAUCACAAGCUCGAUAUGAUGGAGUUUGCAGAUCUGGUCAAAUUCAUCACCAAAGACGGCCACUAGACAACACUGGAAAUAUAUAUUAAUCCUGGGCUUAUGAUGGGCCUAACAAUAUCUGACACAUAGAAAAUGUAACAUAGAUCACAAAACCUGAAACAUACACACAUUCCUGAUGAAUAAAUCUGUCUACUGCUUGUAGUCAUUUAAACUCA
This is a long non-coding RNA of Salvelinus sp. IW2-2015, 490 nucleotides long. RefSeq lists it as uncharacterized. Lineage: Eukaryota; Metazoa; Chordata; Actinopteri; Salmoniformes; Salmonidae. The record is from RefSeq and is a predicted model, not a curated record.